This 466-nucleotide ribosomal RNA is filed under the name uncultured bacterium. Its description in RNAcentral is "partial 16S ribosomal RNA". It matches the Rfam family "Bacterial small subunit ribosomal RNA", at positions 28 to 507 of the family's 1533-position model. The record is from RNAcentral.
GACGAACGCUGGCGGCGCGCCUAACACAUGCAAGUCGAACGAGCGAGAGAGAGCUUGCUUUCUCGAGCGAGUGGCGAACGGGUGAGUAACGCGUGAGGAACCUGCCUCAAAGAGGGGGACAACAGUUGGAAACGACUGCUAAUACCGCAUAAGCCCACGACCCGGCAUCGGGUAGAGGGGAAAGGAGCAAUCCGCUUUGAGAUGGCCUCGCGUCCGAUUAGCUAGUUGGUGAGGUAACGGCCCACCAAGGCGACGAUCGGUAGCCGGACUGAGAGGUUGAGCGGCCACAUUGGGGCUGAGACACGGCACAGACUCCUACGGGAGGGAGCAGUGGGGAAUAUUGCACAGUGGGGGGAACGCUGAAGCAGCGACGCCGCGUGGAGGAAGAAGGUCUUCGGAUAGUAAACUCCUGUUGUUGAGGAAGAUAAUGACGGUACUCAACAAGGAAGUGACGGCUAACUACGUG